Molecule: non-coding RNA, 28 nt
Filed under: Homo sapiens (human)
Lineage: Eukaryota; Metazoa; Chordata; Mammalia; Primates; Hominidae
Source: RNAcentral
UCAUUUGGUGGUGCUGUUGUUCCUAGGA